Transfer RNA from Ovis aries (sheep), 72 nucleotides. It matches the Rfam family "tRNA". Rfam says of the family: Transfer RNA (tRNA) molecules are approximately 80 nucleotides in length. Lineage: Eukaryota; Metazoa; Chordata; Mammalia; Artiodactyla; Bovidae. The record is from Rfam.
UCCCUGGUGGCUCAGUUGGUAAAGAAUCCACCUGCAAGGUGGGAAACCUGGGUUCGAUCCCUAGGUUGGGAA